This 468-nucleotide ribosomal RNA is filed under the name uncultured bacterium. RNAcentral describes it as "partial 16S ribosomal RNA". It matches the Rfam family "Bacterial small subunit ribosomal RNA", at positions 28 to 507 of the family's 1533-position model. The record is from RNAcentral.
GACGAACGCUGGCGGCGUGCUUAACGCAUGCAAGUCGAACGGAAAGGCCCUGCUUUUGUGGGGUGCUCGAGUGGCGAACGGGUGAGUAACACGUGAGUAACCUGCCCUUGACUUUGGGAUAACUUCAGGAAACUGGGGCUAAUACCGGAUAGGGGCUCCUGCUGCAUGGUGGGGGUUGGAAAGUUUCGGCGGUUGGGGAUGGACUCGCGGCUUAUCAGCUUGUUGGUGGGGUAGUGGCUUACCAAGGCUUUGACGGGUAGCCGGCCUGAGAGGGUGACCGGCCACAUUGGGACUGAGAUACGGCCCAGACUCCUACGGGAGGCAGCAGUGGGGAAUAUUGCACAAUGGGCGGAAGCCUGAUGCAGCAACGCCGCGUGCGGGAUGACGGCCUUCGGGUUGUAAACCGCUUUCGCCUGUGACGAAGCGUGAGUGACGGUAAUGGGUAAAGAAGCACCGGCUAACUACGUG